UAAGCCUGUGAAGGUGGCCUGUGAGGGUUGCUGGAGGUAUCAGAAGUGCGAAUGCUGACAUAAGUAACGAUAAAGCGGGUGAAAAGCCCGCUCGCCGGAAGACCAAGGGUUCCUGUCCAACGUUAAUCGGGGCAGGGUGAGUCGACCCCUAAGGCGAGGCCGAAAGGCGUAGUCGAUGGGAAACGGGUUAAUAUUCCCGUACUUGGUGUUACUGCGAAGGGGGGACGGAGAAGGCUAUGUUGGCCGGGCGACGGUUGUCCCGGUUUAAGCGUGUAGGUGUGUGUUCCAGGUAAAUCCGGUUCACUUUAACACUGAGGCGUGACGACGAGGCACUACGGUGCUGAAGCAACAAAUGCCCUGCUUCCAGGAAAAGCCUCUAAGCAUCAGGUAACAUCAAAUCGUACCCCAAACCGACACAGGUGGUCAGGUAGAGAAUACCAAGGCGCUUGAGAGAACUCGGGUGAAGGAACUAGGCAAAAUGGUGCCGUAACUUCGGGAGAAGGCACGCUGACAUGUAGGUGAAGUGAUUUACUCAUGGAGCUGAAGUCAGUCGAAGAUACCAGCUGGCUGCAACUGUUUAUUAAAAACACAGCACUGUGCAAACACGAAAGUGGACGUAUACGGUGUGACGCCUGCCCGGUGCCGGAAGGUUAAUUGAUGGGGUCAGCGCAAGCGAAGCUCCUGAUCGAAGCCCCGGUAAACGGCGGCCGUAACUAUAACGGUCCUAAGGUAGCGAAAUUCCUUGUCGGGUAAGUUCCGACCUGCACGAAUGGCGUAAUGAUGGCCAGGCUGUCUCCACCCGAGACUCAGUGAAAUUGAACUCGCUGUGAAGAUGCAGUGUACCCGCGGCAAGACGGAAAGACCCCGUGAACCUUUACUAUAGCUUGACACUGAACAUUGAGCCUUGAUGUGUAGGAUAGGUGGGAGGCUUUGAAGUGUGGACGCCAGUCUGCAUGGAGCCGACCUUGAAAUACCACCCUUUAAUGUUUGAUGUUCUAACGUGGACCCGUGAUCCGGGUUGCGGACAGUGUCUGGUGGGUAGUUUGACUGGGGCGGUCUCCUCCUAAAGAGUAACGGAGGAGCACGAAGGUUGGCUAAUCCUGGUCGGACAUCAGGAGGUUAGUGCAAUGGCAUAAGCCAGCUUGACUGCGAGCGUGACGGCGCGAGCAGGUGCGAAAGCAGGUCAUAGUGAUCCGGUGGUUCUGAAUGGAAGGGCCAUCGCUCAACGGAUAAAAGGUACUCCGGGGAUAACAGGCUGAUACCGCCCAAGAGUUCAUAUCGACGGCGGUGUUUGGCACCUCGAUGUCGGCUCAUCACAUCCUGGGGCUGAAGUAGGUCCCAAGGGUAUGGCUGUUCGCCAUUUAAAGUGGUACGCGAGCUGGGUUUAGAACGUCGUGAGACAGUUCGGUCCCUAUCUGCCGUGGGCGCUGGAGAACUGAGGGGGGCUGCUCCUAGUACGAGAGGACCGGAGUGGACGCAUCACUGGUGUUCGGGUUGUCAUGCCAAUGGCACUGCCCGGUAGCUAAAUGCGGAAGAGAUAAGUGCUGAAAGCAUCUAAGCACGAAACUUGCCCCGA
Molecule: ribosomal RNA, 1576 nt
Filed under: Salmonella enterica subsp. enterica serovar Ank
Lineage: Bacteria; Pseudomonadati; Pseudomonadota; Gammaproteobacteria; Enterobacterales; Enterobacteriaceae
Description: partial 23S ribosomal RNA
Rfam family: Bacterial large subunit ribosomal RNA
Source: RNAcentral